Molecule: long non-coding RNA, 5726 nt
Filed under: Sus scrofa (pig)
Lineage: Eukaryota; Metazoa; Chordata; Mammalia; Artiodactyla; Suidae
Description: lncRNA (ENSSSCG00035040326.1, ENSSSCG00055020237.1)
Source: RNAcentral
UUUUUUCCUGUUUCAUUGUUUUUCUUAUAAUCUCUUUUCCUUUAUUAUUCCUUUCACUGAUUAAGAAGUAAAUGAAUGAUUUCUGUAUGAUAGCUUAAAUUCAUUAUUUGUCUUCAAAACCAGUCUACCAUUGAUAUUUUAAUAUGAAAAUUACACACAAGAAAUUUGAAAAAGAGAAAAAUGUAAAGAAAACACAAGUCACUAGAAGAUGUGACACAGAGUGGCCAUGUUUCACGGACUUUUUCCGAUCGUUUCUCUGUAUAUGCGCUUUAGAAAGAAUCAGCCACAUCAAGAUAAUGCUGUAUGGACACAAUCUUGAGUCUUGAAUUUCCCCCCUUAAUCAUGAGCGUGUUUUCCAGUAAAACCAGUUACAUGCCUACAUAAUGUAGCGUUAUAUAGUCACUUAUAACUAUUAUAUCUAUUUAAGCUACUGCCGUGUUUUACACAGUUUUUCUGAAUUUCUGACUGCUUUUUCAGAUCGGUGCCGGAAAGGGACUGUGCUUUUCUGGUUUCCUCUCAAGAAAGGCGUUUCCAGAGGGUGGGCGAUGCUCCGUCCUCUGAGCUCAGCAGGGCCUGCACACCAGGCACAAGGGGAGACGGCGACCAGCCGUGGUGCUAACAGCCCCGGCCCUGUGGACGGCUCCGGCCCUUCUCUGGCCGUCCUGGGAGGGCCGUCCAGGAGCACCGCGUUCCCGUCAAAUGCUGGUUCAGGUCUUGGCUCUGUCAUUAGUAGUGGGGACGGUGGCCAAGUAAUUUCCUUAUUUUCCUCGUCCUUCCGGGGGCUGCUGUGGGGCGGGGGUGGCAGGAUGCAGGCACGUGCUGCCCAGCAGCUCGGGGAGCAUUGGAGUGAGAGGCAGCCGCUCCGAUCUGUUCAUCCUCCGAGGUGGUUCUUUCUCACACACACACACUCACACACACACACACUCCUUAAUUCUUUUCUUUUCUUUCUUUUUUUUUUCUUUUUUUUGUAAAGUUUAGACUUUGGUAACUUUUCUCAGCUCGUUGCAUUUUCAAUUAGAUAAAGUUUUCCUUACUUUUAUCCUCCGGCGUUAUUUUUGGCGUCACCUCAUUGCCGCUUUAUUACAAGAAGGCGUUGACUUUGAUCAAGGCCUCGGAUCUGUUCUGACUCACAGUGGAGACGGUCGUGUUGGUGCCCCCGGGCCUGUGAACCGGGCAGCUGAACGGGUGGCUUCAGCCGGGGAGGGGAGGUGGGCGUGAUGGGACCAGGUGGGACCAGCCCUGUGGCCAAGUCAGCGCCUCCCAGAGGGGCCCAUGUCCAGGCUGCGAGCAACCAGCCAGGUGGGGAGCCCUGAGGAGGCCACUCCCGGGGAAGAGAGAGCAAAUGGGGAACUCGGGGAGGAGGGGUCAAGGCCCUGUGGAUCUGACCCCCAAGCUCCCCAUCGGGAGGCGCAGAGCCUGGGGGCGCUGAGACACAUCCCGCCACCCCGUGCCCGCCUAGAACUGGCCCGGCUUCCCUCUCUCCCUGAACUUCUCUGGUGGACUGUGGCCAGAUUGCCUGGUACUCCGUGUGCCUUGUGCUGCGUGCUUCUGUCAGGCUCCUGGGGGUCCCGGGGGCCGGGGUCGGGGUCGGGUCAGCGACACACGAUGAGCCCUGCUGACCGCACAGCAAAGGCGGCUCUGACAGCAGGUGGAAGGUUGAACUCCUGUCUCGGCUCAGCGGCUUUCCCCAGAUUCGCAGGUCGAUGGUCUAACCCUGCACUUUGGGAGGAGACUGAACUUGGACGCGGUCUGCAUAGGGGCAGCUGGGGAGGGUCCAGCGUCCUCACAGGGAGAGAAGCCCUGGGCGCAGGAGGGACAGAGACGGGAAGCCCAUAAAUGUCAGGUGAGUCCCCCCACCCGCGCCUGUGGGCUCCACACAGCGCCACAGACCGGUGCACCAACCAGCCACCGCUGUCCUCCCUGGGUCACUGCAAUAGCACUCUUGGACAAAGUGACCUCUCGGCGGUCACUGUGCAGCCGAGCAGCCAGAGUGCUGGUUAGGUGUGCACGCAUCUCCCUGCUGCAAUGCCCCUUUGCUGGAUUCUCAGAGGACCCGAAUCCUGGCCGUGGCUUCCAGCUCCCCCUGCCCCCCACCGCCGGGACCAGUGCACACCUGCCCCUCACCCUCAUCGCCCCCUUUGCCUCAGCUCCGUGCGUGCCAGGUGCCACCAAACGUCCCUUCCUGUGCGCGGGGGGCAGGGGGGCUGUUGUGUGACCACCUUCCUCCUCGAACGUCCAUUUCAUGUCACAGCGUAACUGCAAUUACUGUAAAUAAGAAAUUGUGAAAUUGGUUAUUCUGGUGUGUUUUCCCCCUAAAUCUGUGCUAGUUGUCGGAAAUAUGCUCUAAUCUGUGCUGUUGCAUUUGGUCGCCCCUCGCCACGUGUGAGUUCUGGGAUGCGGCUGGUGCCAGGUGUGGUCUUAUUCACUUAAACUGAAACUCAAGUAGCCGCGUAAGGCCACCACCCCUGUGUUGGCUGCGCUUCGAUGGACACAGGCUGCCUGCGCGUUGGUUCUCUCUCCUCGCCAAGCGCCGGAGAAUGCAGAAGUGAACUGCACUAAGUGAACCUGAGCAAGGAGGCUGUGUGUUUCACACCAGCAGUCCUGUACGCAGACCGCGGCUCUGACUGGUCCUCAGACUCAGCAGAACAGACUCUGCUCCUCGUCCUCUGGGUCACUGGUGAGAAGUUUCCAGGACACCCUGGGCGGUGUAUCCACUGGUUAAAAUCCACUAACCUGCCCACGUGGCGCCUUGACGGGAAUUGCAAGACCCAAUACUUUUUAGACCAAGAAUGGCAUUGUUACUGCAAUAAGGGCAAAAGGAAAGUUGAAGAGUUUCCAUUGUGGCUCAAGGGGUUGAGGACCUGCUGUUGUCUCUGUGAGGUUGUGGGUUCAAUCCCGGGUCCCACUCGAUGGGUUAAGGAUCCGGUGUUGCCGUGGCUGUGGCACAGGCUGGCCAUUACGGCUCCAAUCCAACCUCUAGCCCGGAAACUUCCAUAUGCUGCGGGUGAGGCCCUAAAAAGAAAAAUAAAAGAAAAAAAAGAAAAUUUAAAAGGAAUGAGAGACUGCUAACUAGGUAAAAACUCGAAAAAGCGAAUACAGUUCUUCAAAGGCGGGGACAAAAUUGUUGGCUCGCAUCAAAGAUGGAUAAAAAGCAAAGCCAGUUUUGAACAGCGGGGUCGAGUCAGCGCAGGCGCCUAGAGCGAGCUCUCCGCGGGGAUCGUGAGCAGGCUCCACAGUGGGGUCCCCACCGGAGCCCAGACCGUAACCCCCCCGUAAGGACAGAGCUAAUUUCUAAGGAGCUGACCACACACCGUCAGGACAUUCAGUUGAACUUGAGUUUCAGAUAAAGAAGUUCAAUCCUCUCUGAAAAUGACCUGCAUUUCGUGUAUUUUAUUUACUAACUCUUAUAACCCUACUUCAAACACAUGGGAAGAAAGCCUCAGAAGAUGAAAGUGGGCCGAUCCAGGGCCUCUAUGUUGUGACCUAGAGUUCAAGGCCAAGGCCUCUGAGCAUUCUCCCUUUCUUGCCUCUUUGCGUCUCUUUGCCAGAAACUCCAUCUUUUCUGCCCGGCUUGCGCCACUUGAUCUAAGCCCAGUUUCAGCAUCUUUCAGAGUUUUUGUUCCUGUGCUGAACAAUGACUUUAGAGUGUAAGCAGCAGAAAAAAGACCGCAGCCAGACGGCCUGUGAGUCCCUGAGGAUAAGAGCUGGGUGUUGAACAGACUCCAGAGUCUCCCACGGUGCCCGGUUCAGAGCAGGCCAUCCGUUGACACUGGCCCUUUCCUUUGGCGUAUUGGAGAUGCGGCCGGGGGGACAGUACUGUCGCCAGUGGGACCGUGUAUGGUUCCUUCUUUUCCCAUUGUUUCCACGUGCCUCGUGUAUAAGUGGCUCUCAAUAAAUACUCAACGAGUAGAACUGAACUGAGUUCAGACCUUGUGACUCCUCUUUCUACUAGGGUGGAGGUUUCUCGGGACACAUGUAUAGUUUGCGUCUCGUGGGCAUCAGGAUUUGCUGCAUACCUCAUAACCACUCUUAUUUCCUGAUUUUUGCCCUUUCGUUCCUCUGGGUUUCUUGUUCUCGGUACGCAAGGCUCGCUGGUGUGACAGGUCUUGGCGUGAGCAAUUCCAAACCUCGAAGCUCUCUCUUCAUCCCGCCAGUGCGAUUCCGUGAGCACUUGCGAUUCCGGCUGAGCCCGGAAGGUGGAUGCAAGUGACGCAGACAAGGUGGAAAUGGACAGAGUGACGUCUGAGGGACCCCAGCCAGCACUCCCGCCCGGCCUGCCUCCAGCUCACCAACUCCCUCCUGGGUCUCCACGCUCCCCGAGUCAGCUCACGACGGGUCGCAGGGCUGUCCCCAUGGGCGGAGCUGGGGUCUGUCCCCAGUCAGCCUCCGGCCUCUCCAGGUGGAUGGCACCCAAGCCCUGGCAACCAUCAUUUUCCCAAACAGUGUGCCUACGUUUGGAUCCGAUCUUAUAUCCCCUGAAAAUGAUCCUACGUGUAAACCUCGUAAAAUCUCUAACAUCUUUGGAUUUUCCACACAAAGUUCAAAUCCAAGAAUUCUAGCUUGAGCACGACCCCUUUAAUGAAAUUAAGGUUGGGAGGAACAGUAAGAAUGCUAGUUGUCCAGGUGGAAGAAUGUUUGGGUUUAAGGUAUGCGCACUCUUUCCUGGACCUCUAGGGUAGAUUUUAUGGUUUUAAUCAAAAGGAUAAGCUGAAAUUUCAGGAUAAUGCUGAGAGAAGGUCCAUUGAACUGCAUUCUUCAAAUAUGAACCACAGCCAAUCACUCUACAAUCCCUACACUGUAAAAUUUUAUGUCUCUGCUCCAGCUAACUUUCCACCGCCCAAACUCUUGGCUGGACAUGCACGUUUUCUCCGUGAUGAAUUCUCUUUCUUGGCUGGUCACGCUGGAUUUAGCAAAGGCUGGGAAGUGACCACCUCUGCCAGCCGCUCCCCCAUGAGGUCAUUUCUGAUGCUAUCUCGGCCUCUCUCAUCAUGUCCUGGGCCCCCCUCACUGCGUCCCGCCCGCCAAGGGACCUGCUGGGACCCAUCCAGGCAGCCCAUCAGACCUUCGCGCCUGCCGGCUGAGUCCGGAACCUGAGCUGAGGGCUGCAGGAAGCCCCCGAGUCAGCCCAGGAGAGAGGAGGAGGUGCUGCCCCCAGCGCCUGUCCAGGUGCCUCCCUGGGCGGGAAGGUUUUCUGAGGAGCAGGUGGACUCCCUCCUUGCUCGCAAAGAGCCGUGGCUUCGGGGACGGGCCCCGCAUUCCCCUCCUUCCCGCGUGGCCGUCACCCCACGUUUACCCCGUGAAGCAGGAAGAAACUGGGUGGGGACAUUCAAGGGUUUUCAGGUUUUGCCAGUGGACAAAGCACAUAGGAAUGUUCUAGGGACUGAGGCGUUCCCGUCAUGGCGCAGCGGAAACAAAUCCAACUAGGAACCAUGAGGUUGCAGGUUCGAUCCCUGGCCUCGCUCAGUGGGUUAAGGAUCCAGCGUUGCUAUGAGCUGCGGUGUAGGUCUCGGAUGCGUUUCUGCUGCGCCACGAUGGGAACUCCCCUCGCUGAAUAUUUUAAAGUUUAACAGCUCAAAGUCUUCUCUCUGAGAGUGCUGCUGGUCUGUCCAGAGAAGCACUGACACAUUCCAGGAACCCCUGGCCGGACGGCGUCGUCACACCGACGCCCUCCCUGAACGGAAGACGCCUGAACACAGCCCGGCAGAGCAGCGCGUCCAGGCGUGUUU